Small nucleolar RNA from Suncus etruscus (white-toothed pygmy shrew), 124 nucleotides. RefSeq annotates it as small nucleolar RNA ACA64. The record is from RefSeq and is a predicted model, not a curated record. The transcript has a single exon. NCBI's taxonomy places the organism in Eukaryota, Metazoa, Chordata, Mammalia, Eulipotyphla, Soricidae.
GUUGGCUGAAAGUCACCUGUGGUUUGACUGUGACUAUGGAUGAGAGUUGAUUCUCUGAGUCAGCAGGUCCUCAGUUUAUUGCUCACUCUCCCUGCGAGAACAUGAAAAUCUGACCCCUGCAAAC